AAGUAAGAAGCAAUUCAUUUGUAAUCAGUUUCGACCUGAUAGGUGAUAUUAAUUUAUCCUUAUUUU
Molecule: transfer RNA, 66 nt
Filed under: Amorphoscelis hainana
Lineage: Eukaryota; Metazoa; Arthropoda; Insecta; Mantodea; Hymenopodidae
Description: tRNA-Arg
Source: RNAcentral